UAGGCAAACCAUUAGGUAACUAAUUAACUGUGUCAAUUUUUGAGAAACUACAACCAGACUAGGCUUAAUUCAGACUUCUCAUCUGAGAAAUAUGUGAUAAAUCAGCAUGUCCUAACGCUUUAAAUUUAAUUCAGACCAUAACCAGUAUUUGAAGUCAUGUUAUAUAAUUUGCUCUUUUAUGUGAGGAGGCCUAUUUGAGCCUGUAACUGCUAUUUGUCUCCCCCCAACUGUUUAUGUAUUUUUUGUUUGUCGCCUUAGACUUUUAUCUUUUUAAACUCUGAAAACCUCAAUUCCCUCCCUUUUAGGAUUAGUAGUCCCAAAUGCCUCCAGGGCAGAUAGGAAUGGGACGGGUAAUAACAUGCAAUAAGUAACGAUAACAUUUCACGCUUUAAUAAAUUAAC
Molecule: long non-coding RNA, 401 nt
Filed under: Nicotiana benthamiana
Lineage: Eukaryota; Viridiplantae; Streptophyta; Magnoliopsida; Solanales; Solanaceae
Description: long non-coding RNA (NBEN_LNC029854)
Source: RNAcentral